Long non-coding RNA from Medicago truncatula (barrel medic), 800 nucleotides. RefSeq lists it as uncharacterized. The transcript has 6 exons. The record is from RefSeq and is a predicted model, not a curated record. Lineage: Eukaryota; Viridiplantae; Streptophyta; Magnoliopsida; Fabales; Fabaceae.
UUUUGUAGUGAAACAUUAAUAAUAAUUCGAGAUGAUUUGGUAAUUUUAUAAUUGUAAGUAGCCAUCAAGCCUAUCUAGCAUUCCACUCAAGCAUUUUUGGGUAUAUAAAAUUACAAAUAUUAGUCUGAUGUGAGUUGCUGCACCAAAUCACUAGAUCACUAGCUUAUAUAUAUAUAUAGGACCACCUCAAUUAUAGUGUCUGAUUUGAGUUGCUGAUGAGAAUGAAUUUUUUUACCGCCCAACAAGAGAUAUUAUGGAGCUGUGUCUAAAGACAGAAGAUUUAUGCCUCACGAUUCUACGAAUAUGGGUGGUGUAGGUAUAUGGAACGCCUCUAUACUCAAUUGGGAAAUAUUGAUGUUUAUGGUUUCGUUGAUCCAUUUUUCAUUCACGCGGAAAAUGACCAAGAAAGUUCUCGGUCUCAUAUGACCGCAAAGAUGUUCGAGGUUAACAAAACUUGUUAUUUUGCACCUUACCUGAAAAAUCGCCAUUGGCAAUUGCUUAUUAUUGAACGAGAAAAAUAAAAUGUCGUUUUCUUAUGUUCGAUGGGUUGGAAGCCAGAUAAAUAUCUUGUGCAAAUUGUUAAUUCUGCUAAAGAAUGGUAUAACAAGUUGAGUGGUGUUAGAAAGACGAGAAAGCCAACAUGGGAGAUUCCCACAUGUCAAAGACAACAUUUCAAUUACUAGUGUGGCUACUUUAUAAUGAUACAUAUGCUGAACAUUGUAUCAGCUGGCAUUACCGACUCAUGGAAUAUGAUUUUUGGAGACGAAACUCCGUUUACUGAUGAUGAAAUGACAAAAGUU